AAAACUGUAAUUACUUUUGUAC
RNAcentral lists this microRNA (22 nucleotides) under Callithrix jacchus (white-tufted-ear marmoset). RNAcentral's name for it is "cja-miR-548q". Its record names the gene cja-miR-548q. RNAcentral also lists the same sequence under 1 other name. Lineage: Eukaryota; Metazoa; Chordata; Mammalia; Primates; Cebidae. The record is from miRBase by way of RNAcentral.